Molecule: ribosomal RNA, 1151 nt
Filed under: Peptoniphilus sp. BG5
Lineage: Bacteria; Bacillati; Bacillota; Tissierellia; Tissierellales; Peptoniphilaceae
Description: bacterial SSU rRNA
Rfam family: Bacterial small subunit ribosomal RNA
Source: RNAcentral
CGGGCCACGCUGCGGACUAAAUNCAGUCGAGCGAUGAAGAAUAACAGACACCUUCGGGAAGAAGUUAAGUCGGAUUAGCGGCGGACGGGUGAGUAACACGUGAGUAACCUGCCUUUGACACGGGGAUAGCCACCGGAAACGGUGAUUAAUACCCGAUGAAAUCGUAAUGACACAUGUCAUAACGAUCAAAGUGAAUUAGCGGUCAAAGAUGGACUCGCGUCUGAUUAAUUAGUUGGUGAGGUAACGGCUCACCAAGAUAGCGAUCAGUAGCCGGCCUGAGAGGGUGAACGGCCACAUUGGAACUGAGAAACGGUCCAAACUCCUACGGGAGGCAGCAGUGGGGAAUAUUGCACAAUGGGGGAAACCCUGAUGCAGCGACGCCGCGUGAGCGAAGAAGGAUUUCGAUUCGUAAAGCUCUGUCCUAUGGGAAGAUAAUGACGGUACCAUAGGAGGAAGCCCCGGCUAACUACGUGCCAGCAGCCGCGGUAAUACGUAGGGGGCGAGCGUUGUCCGGAAUCACUGGGCGUAAAGGGUUCGCAGGCGGUUUAGAAAGUCAGAUGUGAAAGGCGAGGGCUCAACCCUCGUAAGCAUUUGAAACUUCUAAACUUGAGUAGUGAAGAGGUAAGUGGAAUUCCUAGUGUAGCGGUGAAAUGCGUAGAUAUUAGGAGGAAUACCGGUGGCGAAGGCGACUUACUGGUCACAAACUGACGCUGAGGAACGAAAGCGUGGGUAGCAAACAGGAUUAGAUACCCUGGUAGUCCACGCCGUAAACGAUGAGUGCUAGGUGUCGGAGUAAUUCGGUGCCGCAGUUAACACAAUAAGCACUCCGCCUGGGGAGUACGUGCGCAAGCAUGAAACUCAAAGGAAUUGACGGGGACCCGCACAAGCAGCGGAGCAUGUGGUUUAAUUCGAAAGCACGCGAAGAACCUUUACAGGGCUUUGACAUAUAUUGACCCCUCUAGAGAUAGAGGCUUCCCUUCGGGGACAGUAUUACAGGUGGUGCAUGGNUGUCGUCAGCUCGUGUCNUGAGAUGUUGGGUUAAGUCCGGCACGAGCGCAACCCUUUACUUUANUUGCAGCAUGUAAGAUGGGAACUCUAAAGNACUGCCGAUGAUAAUUCGGAGAAGUGGGGAGACGUCAAUCAUCAUGCCU